UGAACGCUGGCGGCGUGCUUAACACAUGCAAGUCGAACGAGAACGGGAUUGCUUGCAAUCCUUAGUAGAGUGGCGCACGGGUGAGUAACACGUAGAUAAUCUACCUUCAAGUCUGGGAUAACUGUUCGAAAGGGCAGCUAAUACCGGAUGAAGUUAUUUGGCAUAAGUUGGAUAAUGAAAGAUUGCCUCUUCUUGAAAGCAAUUGUUUGGAGAUGAGUCUGCGGACCAUUAGUUUGUUGGUGGGGUAAAGGCCUACCAAGACUACGAUGGUUAGCUGGUCUGAGAGGAUGAUCAGCCACACUGGAACUGACACACGGUCCAGACUCCUACGGGAGGCAGCAGUGAGGAAUUUUGCGCAAUGGGGGAAACCCUGACGCAGCAACGCCGCGUGAGUGAAGAAGGCCCUUGGGUCGUAAAGCUCUGUCGACAGGGAAGAAAUUACUUUGUAUUAACAGUGCAUUGUAUUGACGGUACCUGUAGAGGAAGCACCGGCUAACUCC
This 500-nucleotide ribosomal RNA is filed under the name uncultured bacterium. RNAcentral describes it as "bacterial SSU rRNA". It matches the Rfam family "Bacterial small subunit ribosomal RNA", at positions 30 to 504 of the family's 1533-position model. The record is from RNAcentral.